Molecule: long non-coding RNA, 766 nt
Organism: Phoenix dactylifera (date palm)
Lineage: Eukaryota; Viridiplantae; Streptophyta; Magnoliopsida; Arecales; Arecaceae
Source: RefSeq, a predicted model, not a curated record
UUGGGCUGCAAAUAGAUAGGUCCAAAGCAACGCACAGGGCCCGUGGAGAGCGGUCCAUCUUGCCUCGUUUCUCGCAGAAGCAGCCAUGGAGAAGGGCAAGGGUCUGGCUCCGAGAUGGGCGGUGGAAUUCGCCGAGUCUUUUUCUGGUGUUCCAGUUUUUCUCGGUCUCAAUCGAUCUUCCAUGAUCUCGGACCAUUCAUCCACUCCACCUCUUCUUCCAAACUUCUAGCAAUCUGUAUGAAGAAUUGGAGAUUUCCUUCUACGUGCAGGACGACGCGAAUGGAGAGAGGCGGAGGCGGCGUGGAUGUCGCAGGCGGUCAAGUUUUCUGGUGGGAGUCUUCAAUGCAUUGACCUUAUCUUCAUCCACUGUGUCAAACCAGUUGAAGAUUUGGAAUCUUGCUAUGUUGGAUGCUGAUCCUGGUGCGAGAUCAAUUUCCUGCUCUCAGAGGAAAUGAUAACUAAAUUUCCAAGUGGACUUUUGCUCGUGCAAUGUGACAGAUUCUCAUUAUUUUGUGCUAUAUGCAUAGCUCCAUUUGUUGUGUCCUUUCAGAGAACCAAGUUAACCUUAUUAUGUCAUGUUUGUUGAUAAGAGGCCUCUGUCACUUAUAGCUUGUGAUACAUAUUAAUGUCUUGAUUGCUGCAACAGUGCUGUUAAGUAUGGAUUAUAGGAAUGCAGCUUUAGUAAUAUUUGUCUGGAGACCAGAUGAUCUGUUGUUCACAGUUAAUUCUGAACCUGUAGGAAGUAAAACUUUUCUUUUUCUUUUUC